Molecule: non-coding RNA, 30 nt
Filed under: Rattus norvegicus (Norway rat)
Lineage: Eukaryota; Metazoa; Chordata; Mammalia; Rodentia; Muridae
Source: RNAcentral
UACACUGUGGUCCCCCUAGCCUGCUCUUAC